GAUGAACGCUGGCGGCGUGCCUAAUACAUGCAAGUCGAGCGAACGGACGAGAAGCUUGCUUCUCUGAUGUUAGCGGCGGACGUGUGAGUAACACGUGGAUAACCUACCUAUAAGACUGGGAUAACUUCGGGAAACCGUAGCUAAUACCGGAUAAUAUUUUGAACCUCAUGGUUCAAAAGUGAAAGACGGUCUUUCUGUCACUUAUAGAUGUAUCCGCGCUGCAUUAGCUAGUUGGUAAGGUAACGGCUUACCAAGGCAACGAUGCAUAGCCGACCUGAGAGGGUGAUCGGCCACACUGGAACUGAGACACGGUCCAGACUCCUACGGGAGGCAGCAGUAGGGAAUCUUCCGCAAUGGGCGAAAGCCUGACGGAGCAACGCCGCGUGAGUGAUGAAGGUCUUCGGAUCGUAAAACUCUGUUAUUAGGGAAGAACAUAUGUGUAAGUAACUGUGCACAUCUUGACGGUACCUAAUCAGAAAGCAACGGCUAACUACGUG
RNAcentral lists this ribosomal RNA (497 nucleotides) under uncultured bacterium. Its description in RNAcentral is "partial 16S ribosomal RNA". It matches the Rfam family "Bacterial small subunit ribosomal RNA", at positions 28 to 507 of the family's 1533-position model. The record is from RNAcentral.